Molecule: ribosomal RNA, 441 nt
Filed under: uncultured bacterium
Lineage: Bacteria
Description: partial 16S ribosomal RNA
Rfam family: Bacterial small subunit ribosomal RNA
Source: RNAcentral
CCUACGGGUGGCAGCAGUGGGGAAUAUUGCACAAUGGGGGAAACCCUGAUGCAGCGACGCCGCGUGAGGGAGGAAGUAUUUCGGUGUGUAAAGCUCUAUCUGCCGGGGCGAAAAAAGACGGUACCUGACUAAGCAGCCCCGGCUAACUACGUGCCAGCAGCCGCGGUAAUUCGUAGGGGGCAAGCGUUGUCCGGAUUUACUGGGUGUAAAGGGAGCGUAGACGGGAAGGCAAGCCAGAAGUGAAAGGGCAGGGCUGAACCCUGUACAUGCUUUUGGAACUGUGGUGCUAGAGUGCAGGAGAGGUAAGCGGAAUUCCUGGUGUAGCGGUGAAAUGCGUAGAUAUUAGGAGGAACACCAGUGGCGAAGGCGGCUUACUGGACUGUAACUGACGUUGAGGCUCGAAAGCGUGGGGAGCAAACAGGAUUAGAUACCCGUGUAGUC